Molecule: ribosomal RNA, 377 nt
Filed under: Shigella dysenteriae
Lineage: Bacteria; Pseudomonadati; Pseudomonadota; Gammaproteobacteria; Enterobacterales; Enterobacteriaceae
Description: bacterial LSU rRNA
Rfam family: Bacterial large subunit ribosomal RNA
Source: RNAcentral
AGCUCGAUGAGUAGGGCGGGACACGUGGUAUCCUGUCUGAAUAUGGGGGGACCAUCCUCCAAGGCUAAAUACUCCUGACUGACCGAUAGUGAACCAGUACCGUGAGGGAAAGGCGAAAAGAACCCCGGCGAGGGGAGUGAAAAAGAACCUGAAACCGUGUACGUACAAGCAGUGGGAGCCUCUUUAUGGGGUGACUGCGUUCCUUUUGUAUAAUGGGUCAGCGACUUAUAUUCUGUAGCAAGGUUAACCGAAUAGGGGAGCCGAAGGGAAACCGAGUCUUAACUGGGCGUUAAGUUGCAGGGUAUAGACCCGAAACCCGGUGAUCUAGCCAUGGGCAGGUUGAAGGUUGGGUAACACUAACUGGAGGACCGAACCGA